UACGGGGGGGGCAAGCGUCGUUCGGAAUUACUGGGCGUAAAGGGCGCGUAGGCGGUGCUCUAAGUUAGAUGUGAAAACUCUGGGCUCAACCCAGAGCCUGCAUCUAAAACUGGAGUGCUAGAGUUCUGGAGGGGGUAGCGGAAUUCCUGGUGUAGCGGUGAAAUGCGUAGAUAUCAGGAGGAACACCGGUGGCGAAGGCGGCUACCUGGACAGAAACUGACGCUGAGGCGCGAAAGCUAGGGGAGCAAACAGG
Molecule: ribosomal RNA, 253 nt
Filed under: uncultured bacterium
Lineage: Bacteria
Description: partial 16S ribosomal RNA
Rfam family: Bacterial small subunit ribosomal RNA
Source: RNAcentral